AAAGACGUUUAAAUAUAAUUACUAGACGGAAAGCAGCACGCGCGGAAACCAUGCAGACGAAUGGGAUUAGGCUCCGCCUCUUUUGGAUCAUUUGAAGACAAAAUAAGCUACCGAGGCGGCUUUUUGAUUGGAUAUGAGCCUCAUGAAUAUGUAUUUUAUCGAUAGUAUCGUUUAAGAAACCGGAUAAUAUAUUUGACCUCAUUGCGUCACUUUAAUUAUGCAGAUUUAUGCACGACGCUACUACACUCGCACAAACUGAGAAGAGUUAGUUCAUUGAGAAUGGAUUGAAACUAAUGAAGAGCUGGAAGGAGUUAACUGAUGAGUAGACAUUACAACAUUUCUUAUAUUUGCAAGAUGAAGCUGAAAGUCCCAUUGCAGGAUGAUGCUUCUCUACAGUGGAUGAUGAAGGCAUGCUGAUUACAAACCCAGGAGAGGAACAAAGAACAGAUAUUGACAGAAGCAUAUCUAGAGAUGCGGGCCUACUACACUUCAUACGAGCAAGUGUGCUAAUAUACAAUACUUGGGUUAUCAUCACAGCCCUUUCUUCUGAAAACUAGCCUACAACUUCAUCAAUGAAUGCAGAAGACAUCUUCAUGGGACUACGUCUUAAAGAUGCAACCCUCAUAUAAUGAAAGAGGACAUUAGAGAUGGGUUUAAACUUGAAUAUUUACAUACUAUUUAUUUA
Molecule: long non-coding RNA, 685 nt
Organism: Strongylocentrotus purpuratus (purple sea urchin)
Lineage: Eukaryota; Metazoa; Echinodermata; Echinoidea; Camarodonta; Strongylocentrotidae
Exons: 4
Source: RefSeq, a predicted model, not a curated record